CGAAAGCCUGACCGAGCGACGCCGCGUGCGGGAUGAAGGCCUUCGGGUUGUAAACCGCUGUCAGAGGGGAGGAAAUCUGUGGGGGUUCUCCCCCGCAGUUGACCUAGCCUCAGAGGAAGGACGGGCUAAGUUCGUGCCAGCAGCCGCGGUAAGACGAACCGUCCAAACGUUAUUCGGAAUCAUUGGGCUUAAAGGGUGCGUAGGCGGUGCGGUAAGUUGGGUGUGAAAUCCCCCGGCUCAACCGGGGAAUGGCGCCCAAAACUGUCGCACUCGAGGGAGACAGGGGUAAGCGGAACUGAUGGUGGAGCGGUGAAAUGCGUUGAUAUCAUCAGGAACACCAGUGGCGAAAGCGGCUUACUGGGUCUUUUCUGACGCUGAGGCACGAAAGCUAGGGGAGCAGACGGGAUUAGAUACCCCGGUAGUCCUAGCUGUAAACGAUGAGCACUUGGUCGGAGACUCCUCCAUAGGUUUCCGGCCGGAGCGUAAGUGUUAAGUGCUCCGCCUGGGGAGUAUGGUCGCAAGGCUG
Molecule: ribosomal RNA, 526 nt
Filed under: uncultured Planctomycetota bacterium
Lineage: Bacteria; Pseudomonadati; Planctomycetota
Description: bacterial SSU rRNA
Rfam family: Bacterial small subunit ribosomal RNA
Source: RNAcentral